AGGUGAACCUGCGGAUGGAUCAUUA
RNAcentral lists this ribosomal RNA (25 nucleotides) under Meretrix lusoria. Its description in RNAcentral is "partial 18S ribosomal RNA". The record is from RNAcentral. Lineage: Eukaryota; Metazoa; Mollusca; Bivalvia; Venerida; Veneridae. RNAcentral also lists the same sequence under 6 other names.